AAGGCAAAGAAAAUUCCGCCAAGUAUUGAAGUAAACAACAAAGAAAGGGAUUUGGGAUGUUGUCAGUUGUAUGUAUACAUUAUGUGCGACGGUGACUGCAAAAAAAAGGAAUGUAGAGCUAAUGCAUGCUGCUAAGGAUGGAAAGGUCUUGUGUUUAUUGGUUGUGCCUGAGUCACCAGUCACAGUUGUACCUUAUUUCCAUUUUAGGUAUUGUCUUUUGAGUUUUUUUAAGUAGAGGGAACAAUGCAUUUUUCAUUCAAUAUAAAUGUAAAAUUCUAGAGAUAACUUUUUUUCACCAUUGCUGGAUACUCACUACAUGAUUUUAUCUAAAGAAAAGUAUUUAAAUUAUUUUCUCACAUUUUUUAAAGAGGCCGGGUAUGGUGAAGAGAUAAUUCAUUUUUUAUUCAAAAUUUUAUUUUCCAUGCAUUUGUACAGGGAGUCUAUAUACAUUUGAGAUGAGCGGCAGAUUUAAUUUUGAAGAAGGGUGACUUUCAGAUGUUGUGAUGAAGAUUGUUGAAAGGGAUUAUCAGCAUAGAACCAAUCCAUAUGAAUGUGCAAGUCAGGACUUGUACAACACCUGAGUACCUAGAUGA
Molecule: long non-coding RNA, 593 nt
Organism: Saccostrea cuccullata (small rock oyster)
Lineage: Eukaryota; Metazoa; Mollusca; Bivalvia; Ostreida; Ostreidae
Exons: 3
Source: RefSeq, a predicted model, not a curated record